CCUACGGGGGGCUGCAGUAAGGAAUAUUGGUCAAUGGACGAAAGUCUGAACCAGCCAUGCCGCGUGGAGGAUGAAGGUCCUCUGGAUUGUAAACUUCUUUUAUAUGGGACGAAAAAAGGCUUUUCUAAGUCGUCUGACGGUACCAUAUGAAUAAGCACCGGCUAACUCCGUGCCAGCAGCCGCGGUAAUACGGAGGGUGCAAGCGUUAUCCGGAUUCACUGGGUUGAAAGGGUGUUGGUGUGGGAGGGUAGAAAUCCCCGAGCGUAACUUGGGAACUGCCAUUGAUACUAUCAGUCGUGAAUACCGUGGAGGUCAGCGGAAUAUGUCAUGUAGCGGUGAAAUGCUUAGAUAUGACAUAGAACACCAAUUGCGAAGGCAGCUGGCUACCCGAAUAUUGACACUGAGGCACGAAAGCGUGGGGAUCAAACAGGAUUAGAUACCCGUGUAGUC
RNAcentral lists this ribosomal RNA (450 nucleotides) under uncultured bacterium. RNAcentral describes it as "partial 16S ribosomal RNA". It matches the Rfam family "Bacterial small subunit ribosomal RNA", at positions 338 to 795 of the family's 1533-position model. The record is from RNAcentral.